This 1506-nucleotide long non-coding RNA is filed under the name Sus scrofa (pig). RNAcentral describes it as "lncRNA (ENSSSCG00060044174.1)". Lineage: Eukaryota; Metazoa; Chordata; Mammalia; Artiodactyla; Suidae. The record is from RNAcentral.
UAUCAUUAUUUUAAAAAAGCCCUUUUGAAUUCCAAUGUCCUUUUAGUUCCAAAAAAGGCACAACUCUGUCUCAUGUGGUAUGGUGAAAUGAACAAUUUUGUGAUCAUGUGAGAAAGUUAGACUUUAGUUGUUAAUCAUGCCACCUCAAAAGUAGGUUUUUUGAAUUCAACAUUUGCCACUCUUACAACUAGUCUUUUUGUAAAAAUCAGGUUUCUUAUUUUGCACCUUAAAAAGUUUAAAAUUGUUUUCUGUGUCAGGUGAAUCUUUUAUUAUGAGAUGUCACUUUUUUUUUAUUGGUAUCAUUUCAUGUAAUAAUUUUUCUAUGUAAAAUGAUAUUUAGGCUGAGAAAGAGAAAACUUAUCAAAGCAUAUAAAUCUGUAUCUGAAAUAAUCAUUUUACUGUUUAUUUUAAACUUUUUAUUUGGACUACUGGGUUUGUCUUGCAUGUAUAUGAAGAUGUAUUCAACUUGUCAUAUAUUUGGUAUGAAAAUGAAUAGCUGUAAAAAGCAAACUUUAAAAUAUAGUUCUUGAUAGUAGGCCUUUACAAUUCAUAUUUAAUUUUUUUUUAAAUAGAUUUUUAGGUUGUCUACACUUUUAGGACAUUUUAAAAAUAUCACAUGAAAAGUAGGAGUUCCCGUCGUGGCGCAGUGGUUAACGAAUCCGACUAGGAACCAUGAGGUUGAGGGUUUGGUCCCUGCCCUUGCUCAAUGGAUCCUUAACCCACUGCGCAAGGCCAAGGAUCAAACCCGCAACCUCAUGGUUCCUAGUUGGAUUUGUUAACCACUGAGCCAUGAUGGGAACUCCCAUAAUCACUUUAAAUGUCAAUGGACUAUACUCUCCAAUCAAAAGACAUAGGAUGACUGACUGGAUAAAACAACAACAACAACAACAAAAACAUGUUGCUUACAAGAGACUCAAAGUUAAAAAAAAAAGUCUGAAAGUAAGGGAUGAAAAAAGAUAUUUCACCAAAGAAAUGACAAAAAAGAGGGGGUGCCAAUACUCAUGUUAGACAAAAUGGGGUUUCAGACAAAGUCUAUAAGAAAAGAGAAGGGUGUUUUAUAAUGAUAAAGAUAUCAAUACAAUAAAAGGAUAUAAAACUUGUUAACAUAUAUGCACCCAAUACAGGAGCAUCUAAAUAUAAAAAGUAAAUAUUAAUAGACACAAAGGGAAAAACUGACAACAAUACAAUAAUAGUAAGGGAUUUUAACACCCUACUUACAUCAUCAAUGGACAAAUCAUCCAGAGAGAAAAUCAUUGGUCUUAAAUAACACACUAGAUCAGUUGGAACUUAAUAGAUACCUACAGGACAUUCCAUCCAAAAACAGAAGAAUACACAUUCUUUUCAAGAGCACAUGGAAUUUUUCCCAGGAUAAAGCACAUACUAGGCCAUGAUCAAUGGGAAUUUAUUCCAGACACCCAAAUAUGUUUCAAUAUCCACAAAUCAAUCAAUGUGAUACCCCACAUUAACAAAAUGAAAGACACAAACCACACGAAUGCAGAAAAAAAA